AUUGAACGCUGGCGGCAUGCCUUACACAUGCAAGUCGAACGGCAGCACGGGGGCAACCCUGGUGGCGAGUGGCGAACGGGUGAGUAAUACAUCGGAACGUGCCCGAUAGUGGGGGAUAGCCCGGCGAAAGCCGGAUUAAUACCGCAUGAGACCUAUGGGUGAAAGCGGGGGAUCGCAAGACCUCGCGCUAUCGGAGUGGCCGAUGUCAGAUUAGGUUGUUGGUGAGGUAAAGGCUCACCAAGCCGACGAUCUGUAGCUGGUCUGAGAGGACGACCAGCCACACUGGGACUGAGACACGGCCCAGACUCCUACGGGAGGCAGCAGUGGGGAAUUUUGGACAAUGGGCGCAAGCCUGAUCCAGCCAUGCCGCGUGCGGGAAGAAGGCCUCGG
RNAcentral lists this ribosomal RNA (390 nucleotides) under uncultured bacterium. Its description in RNAcentral is "bacterial SSU rRNA". It matches the Rfam family "Bacterial small subunit ribosomal RNA", at positions 29 to 420 of the family's 1533-position model. The record is from RNAcentral.